UUGUUUUAGAUUUAUGAGCUUGACUGUCCCUUUGGUAUCUUUCGUCCCUCUUUUUUUGACAAACACCAAUUUUGUUCAUUGAGAAGCUUUAAAAAGAGGGACGAAAGAUACCAAAGGGACAGUCAGACUCAUAAAUCUA
This 139-nucleotide small RNA is filed under the name Mytilus galloprovincialis (Mediterranean mussel). The record is from RNAcentral. Lineage: Eukaryota; Metazoa; Mollusca; Bivalvia; Mytilida; Mytilidae.